GAACCAACGCCAGCACCCUUGGUGGCGAAUGAAGUGCAGCUGCACGUAGAUGGAAGCUGGAAUCCUGCUGCUCAGCGCAUGGGCUACGAGGCUUUUCUUCAAGACUCGAAUGAAAACUGGCUAUCUGGAGUGUCUGCAAGCAUGGGUACGGGGUCGUCGUUUCUUGUUGAGUUAUUAGCAAUGGAGCACGGGCUCCUCCAUGCUUGGAGUCUUGGUCACCGAGCUGUUCUUUGUAUGGCAGAUUGCAGGCAAGCUGGGGAUAUUGUGCAGCAGGAAGGAGAUGUUUCCAGUUAUUGGGAGAAGGAUGCUAUCGUAAGGCUCAGAGCUUUACUGAGCAGAAACUGGCAUGUGAGGCUUGUAUGGAUCCCUCGUGAGAAGAACUCUGCUGCAGAUACUAUGGCUCGGCAAGCAGUGCGUGACGGAGCAGGGCAUCGUGUUUGAGCCCAACCUCCUUUGGGUGUUUUGACAGCAUUGUAUGCUGAUAGUUUAGUGUAGCCCUUGUUUUAUUUUUCCUAUGUAACCAAAAAAAGUAUACACUAACACUGACUAUCCCUGUAACUUAUGAAUUGCCAGCUAGAGCUCAAUUUUGAGAAUGUAGCUGAUGAAGUGGGGAGCCGAAAGUGACAAGCUUUGCGUACGAAAUUGGACAAGAGCUCAAUUUUUAGAAUGUAGCCGAUGAAGUGGGGAGCCGAAGAGACAAGCUUUGCGUACGAAAUUGGACAAGAUAUCUUUCCA
RNAcentral lists this long non-coding RNA (735 nucleotides) under Lotus japonicus. Its description in RNAcentral is "long non-coding RNA (LJAP_LNC000351)". The record is from RNAcentral. Lineage: Eukaryota; Viridiplantae; Streptophyta; Magnoliopsida; Fabales; Fabaceae.